RNAcentral lists this ribosomal RNA (446 nucleotides) under uncultured bacterium. Its description in RNAcentral is "partial 16S ribosomal RNA". It matches the Rfam family "Bacterial small subunit ribosomal RNA", at positions 354 to 796 of the family's 1533-position model. The record is from RNAcentral.
GUAGGGAAUAUUGGACAAUGGGGGGAACCCUGAUCCAGCCAUGCCGCGUGGAGGAAGACUGCCCUCUGGGUUGUAAACUCCUUUUAUAUGGGAAGAACCGUCCUCAUUAAUGAGUGACCUGACGGUACCAUAGGAAUAAGCACCGGCUAACUCAGUGCCAGCAGCCGCGGUAAUACGGAGGGUGCAAGCGUUAUCCGGAUUCACUGGGUUUAAAGGGUGCGUAGGCGGAUAAAUAAGUCAGUGGUGAAAUCAACGGGCUCAACCUGUUAACUGCCAUUGAUACUGUGUAUCUUGAAUAUGAGAGAGGUAGGCGGAAUGUUGCAUGUAGUGGUGAAAUGCUUAGAUAUGCUACGGAACACCGAUUGCGAAGGCAGCUUACUAUUUCGUAAUUGACGCUGAGGCACGAAAGCGUGGGUAGCGAACAGGAUUAGAAACCCUGGUAGUCC